ACGCUGGCGGCAGGCCUAACACAUGCAAGUCGAACGGUAGCACAGAGAGCUUGCUCUCGGGUGACGAGUGGCGGACGGGUGAGUAAUGUCUGGGAAACUGCCUGAUGGAGGGGGAUAACUACUGGAAACGGUAGCUAAUACCGCAUAACGUCGCAAGACCAAAGAGGGGGACCUUCGGGCCUCUUGCCAUCAGAUGUGCCCAGAUGGGAUUAGCUAGUAGGUGGGGUAACGGCUCACCUAGGCGACGAUCCCUAGCUGGUCUGAGAGGAUGACCAGCCACACUGGAACUGAGACACGGUCCAGACUCCUACGGGAGGCAGCAGUGGGGAAUAUUGCACAAUGGGCGCAAGCCUGAUGCAGCCAUGCCGCGUGUAUGAAGAAGGCCUUCGGGUUGUAAAGUACUUUCAGCGGGGAGGAAGGUGUUGUGGUUAAUAACCGCAGCAAUUGACGUUACCCGCAGAAGAAGCACCGGCUAACUCCGUGCCAGCAGCCGCGGUAAUACGGAGGGUGCAAGCGUUAAUCGGAAUUACUGGGCGUAAAGCGCACGCAGGCGGUCUGUCAAGUCGGAUGUGAAAUCCCCGGGCUCAACCUGGGAACUGCAUUCGAAACUGGCAGGCUAGAGUCUUGUAGAGGGGGGUAGAAUUCCAGGUGUAGCGGUGAAAUGCGUAGAGAUCUGGAGGAAUACCGGUGGCGAAGGCGGCCACCUGGACAAAGACUGACGCUCAGGUGCGAAAGCGUGGGGAGCAAACAGGAUUAGAUACCUGGUAGUCCACGCCGUAAACGAUGUCGACUUGGAGGUUGUGCCCUUGAGGCGUGGCUUCCGGAGCUAACGCGUUAAGUCGACCGCCUGGGGAGUACGGCCGCAAGGUUAAAACUCAAAUGAAUUGACGGGGGCCCGCACAAGCGGUGGAGCAUGUGGUUUAAUUCGAUGCAACGCGAAGAACCUUACCUACUCUUGACAUCCAGAGAACUUUCCAGAGAUGGAUUGGUGCCUUCGGGAACUCUGAGACAGGUGCUGCAUGGCUGUCGUCAGCUCGUGUUGUGAAAUGUUGGGUUAAGUCCCGCAACGAGCGCAACCCUUAUCCUUUGUUGCCAGCGGUUAGGCCGGGAACUCAAAGGAGACUGCCAGUGAUAAACUGGAGGAAGGUGGGGAUGACGUCAAGUCAUCAUGGCCCUUACGAGUAGGGCUACACACGUGCUACAAUGGCGCAUACAAAGAGAAGCGACCUCGCGAGAGCAAGCGGACCUCAUAAAGUGCGUCGUAGUCCGGAUUGGAGUCUGCAACUCGACUCCAUGAAGUCGGAAUCGCUAGUAAUCGUAGAUCAGAAUGCUACGGUGAAUACGUUCCCGGGCCUUGUACACACCGCCCGUCACACCAUGGGAGUGGGUUGCAAAAGAAGUAGGUAGCUUAACCUU
RNAcentral lists this ribosomal RNA (1416 nucleotides) under Enterobacter sp. JA17. RNAcentral describes it as "16S ribosomal RNA". It matches the Rfam family "Bacterial small subunit ribosomal RNA". The record is from RNAcentral. Lineage: Bacteria; Pseudomonadati; Pseudomonadota; Gammaproteobacteria; Enterobacterales; Enterobacteriaceae.